Molecule: long non-coding RNA, 861 nt
Organism: Hibiscus syriacus
Lineage: Eukaryota; Viridiplantae; Streptophyta; Magnoliopsida; Malvales; Malvaceae
Exons: 3
Source: RefSeq, a predicted model, not a curated record
UAAUAAUAAAUGAAGAUUCUUUCAUAUAAAAUGCUUAACACAUGCUCUUUGAUUGGUGCUUGUGCUUUUUGCAAUGUCCCUUGUUUUCGGUUCUUUUUUCUAAUCUUUGAAGUUUCACCUUCUAUUAGGAAAGGCAAAACGUCAACCAAAUAAGUUAAUUUGUUUGAUAAUCUGUGUAAUGUAAUAGCGACUAUGUUGGUCCUUUCUUUACUAUUGUGUUUAAUAUGUUGACUUUUUUUUAUGUUGAUUUGCAAUUCAAUUCAUGGUGAUGUGUACAAAACAUGGUCUUCUGUUUAUGUGUUUCAGUAUUGCUGUUGGAUUAUAUAUUCUUCUAAGAGCUGUUAACCGCCAUGCUGCAAACUUUAACCAUUUUCCUGGGCAGUUCGACGGUUGAUUGGAUUAGGAUAUAUCUCGGCUUAAAACUACAGCUGUUAGCCUACUUAAUGAUAUGGGUUGUACUGGUUUAACACUGACAGAGGACCUUAUUGAUGAAAUGUGCCGAUUUGGCACUGCAGAGCUCCAUGCUGUGCUGCCGUCAUUGGAGGAAUUGCAUCACAAGAAGUGAUCAAGCUUAUAACGACAGUUUGUUCCCAUGUCUGGCACAUUCAUAUUCAAUGCGAUUCACCACAAGUCUCAGUUGUUGACUCUGUGGUAGAACUUCAAGCAAAGCAAAUUUUGGAAAUAAAUGGUGUGUUUUCGUCUCAUCUGGUGCAAUGAUGAUUUAAAUGAAGAAGCGUGCAGACUUCAGGAUUUGUUGGCAGAUUCAGUCAAGAUAUGGGAUGGCUAUUUAUUUGCAGGUAUAGCUUUGCUGCUCCAUAUGUAAAAAAAUUCUGGGUUGAGGCAGUAUUUUUGUAUUUUAAC